GGAGUGCCUCUCCUUAUGGCAAUAGCCACUCCACCGCAGGCCCUUCCUGGUGAUCGAAAGUCUUUCCGUAUGAUCUCAAAACCGUUCAUGGAAAAUUUGCUUCUAGGUUUUAGGUGAGUCUCUUGGAGAGCGAUGCACAGCGGUAUAAAAUAAAUAACAUUUAGUGUAUAUGGGGACAAAUACAAAUACACGACAUUGAGCAACGAUACUAAACAAUUAAGUAAAUAAAUAAAUACAGACAUCGAUCAAAAAAUAUCAUAGGUUUUAUCACAGAUUCUAUCACUUACUAGAUGGUAACCCAGGCCCUCGGGGUUUACCCUUGGGCCACCCCUUUUUCUUUUUACCGCUUUUUGCCUCUUCUAGGCCCUUCAUCUACGGACUCAAUGCUUGAGGUCGCGGAUGACGUCAGAGAGGGUUUGCGUUUUGCACCCCUGGAUUCGGCAUCCAUGGGUAUCGGAAGACGAAAUUCUACUCCCUCGCGACAGAGAUUCGUCAUCUAUGGGUACCGGAAGACAAAAUUCUACUCUAUCGUCAGCAGGCCGCGAUAGAGACUGUUUCACGUGUGCGAUCAUCUCUGAGCCACCAACUGUACCUGAGACGGGAUAAUGUUUUGUUGUGUCGAGCCACCAUUGUGCAUAGCAACAUUAGCAUACAAAUUAUUGGUCGUUACGGUACUACCAAUCGUCUUGCUUCCGGGUACAUUUCACAUGACCUGGAGUUUGCAGGGUGAUUUCCUUUACAGUUUAUACA
Long non-coding RNA from Photinus pyralis (common eastern firefly), 750 nucleotides. RefSeq lists it as uncharacterized. Lineage: Eukaryota; Metazoa; Arthropoda; Insecta; Coleoptera; Lampyridae. The transcript has 3 exons. The record is from RefSeq and is a predicted model, not a curated record.